This 253-nucleotide ribosomal RNA is filed under the name uncultured bacterium. Its description in RNAcentral is "partial 16S ribosomal RNA". It matches the Rfam family "Bacterial small subunit ribosomal RNA", at positions 524 to 776 of the family's 1533-position model. The record is from RNAcentral.
UACAGAGGGGGCAAGCGUUGUUCGGAAUUACUGGGCGUAAAGGGCGCGUAGGCGGCCUGUUAAGUCGAACGUGAAAUCCCCGGGCUCAACCCGGGAACUGCGUCCGAUACUGGCAGGCUUGAAUUCGGGAGAGGGAUGUGGAAUUCCAGGUGUAGCGGUGAAAUGCGUAGAUAUCUGGAGGAACACCGGUGGCGAAGGCGGCUUACUGGGGCCUUUCUGACGCUGAGGAACGAAAGCUAGGGGAGCGAACGGG